GCAGCCGCGGUAAUUCCAGCUCCAAUAGCGUAUAUUAAAGUUGUUGCAGUUAAAAAGCUCGUAGUUGAAGUUUGGUCCCAUUUAGGCGGUCUGCUUAACGGUUUGUACUGUCUGCCUGGGACUUUAGCCUCUUGGUGGUCCGGUAUGUCAUUUACUUGGUGUAUCGGGGAACCAGGAUUUUUACUUUGAAAAAAUUAGAGUGUUCAAAGCAGGCGUUUGUCGGAAUAAAUUAGCAUGGAAUAAUAAAAUAGGACGUGUGGUUCUAUUUUGUUGGUUUGUAGAAUCACCGUAAUGAUUAAUAGGGACAGUUGGGGGCACUAGUAUUUGCACGUUAGAGGUGAAAUUCUGGGAUCGUGUGAAGACUGACGACUGCGAAAGCAUUUGCCAAGGAUGUUUUCAUUAAUCAAGAACGAAGGUUAGGGGAUCGAAAACGAUCAGAUACCGUUGUAGUCUUAACAGUAAACUAUGCCGACUAGGGAUUGGUGGAUGUGAAUUUAAUUGUAGACGUCACCAGCACCUUGCGAGAAAUCAAAGUGUUUGGGUUCUGGGGGGAGUAUGGUCGCAAGGCUGAAACUUAA
RNAcentral lists this ribosomal RNA (578 nucleotides) under Quasiramularia phakopsoricola. RNAcentral's name for it is "SSU rRNA". It matches the Rfam family "Eukaryotic small subunit ribosomal RNA", at positions 570 to 1147 of the family's 1831-position model. Lineage: Eukaryota; Fungi; Basidiomycota; Quasiramulariales; Quasiramulariaceae. The record is from RNAcentral.